GACGAACGCUGGCGGCGUGCUUAACACAUGCAAGUCGAACGUGAUUUUUGUAGAAAUUCUUUCGGGAAUGGAAAUGAAAUGAAAGUGGCGAACGGGUGAGUAACACGUGAGCAACCUACCUUACACAGGGGGAUAGCCGUUGGAAACGACGAUUAAUACCGCAUGAGACCACAGAAUCGCAUGAUAUAGGGGUCAAAGAUUUAUCGGUGUAAGAAGGGCUCGCGUCUGAUUAGCUAGUUGGAAGGGUAAAGGCCUACCAAGGCGACGAUCAGUAGCCGGUCUGAGAGGAUGAACGGCCACAUUGGAACUGAGACACGGUCCAAACUCCUACGGGAGGCAGCAGUGGGGAAUAUUGCACAAUGGGGGGAACCCUGAUGCAGCGACGCCGCGUGAGCGAAGAAGGUUUUCGAAUCGUAAAGCUCUGUCCUAUGAGAAGAUAAUGACGGUAUCAUAGGAGGAAGCCCCGGCUAAAUACGUGCCAGCAGCCGCGGUAAUACGUAUGGGGCGAGCGUUGUCCGGAAUUAUUGGGCGUAAAGGGUACGUAGGCGGUUUUUUAAGUCAGGUGUGAAAGCGUGAGGCUUAACCUCAUUAAGCACUUGAAACUGGAAGACUUGAGUGAAGGAGAGGAAAGUGGAAUUCCUAGUGUAGCGGUGAAAUGCGUAGAUAUUAGGAGGAAUACCGGUGGCGAAGGCGACUUUCUGGACUUUUACUGACGCUCAGGUACGAAAGCGUGGGGAGCAAACAGG
Molecule: ribosomal RNA, 746 nt
Filed under: uncultured Parvimonas sp.
Lineage: Bacteria; Bacillati; Bacillota; Tissierellia; Tissierellales; Peptoniphilaceae
Description: bacterial SSU rRNA
Rfam family: Bacterial small subunit ribosomal RNA
Source: RNAcentral